CCUACGGGGGGCUGCAGUGGGGAAUAUUGGACAAUGGGGGCAACCCUGAUCCAGCCAUGCCGCGUGUGUGAAGAAGGCCCUCGGGUUGUAAAGCACUUUCAGUGAGGAAGAACGCCUGGUGGUUAAUACCCAUCAGGAAAGACAUCACUCACAGAAGAAGCACCGGCUAACUCCGUGCCAACAGCCGCGGUAAUACGGAGGGUGCGAGCGUUAAUCGGAAUUACUGGGCGUAAAGCGCGCGUAGGUGGCUUGAUAAGCCGGUUGUGAAAGCCCCGGGCUCAACCUGGGAACGGCAUCCGGAACUGUCAAGCUAGAGUGCAGGAGAGGAAGGUAGAAUUCCCGGUGUAGCGGUGAAAUGCGUAGAGAUCGGGAGGAAUACCAGUGGCGAAGGCGGCCUUCUGGACUGACACUGACACUGAGGUGCGAAAGCGUGGGUAGCAAACAGGAUUAGAUACCCCAGUAGUC
This 465-nucleotide ribosomal RNA is filed under the name Vreelandella stevensii. RNAcentral describes it as "partial 16S ribosomal RNA". It matches the Rfam family "Bacterial small subunit ribosomal RNA", at positions 338 to 795 of the family's 1533-position model. Lineage: Bacteria; Pseudomonadati; Pseudomonadota; Gammaproteobacteria; Oceanospirillales; Halomonadaceae. The record is from RNAcentral.